UUACCAGACUCCUACGGGAGGCAGCAGUGGGGAAUAUUGCACAAUGGGGGAAACCCUGAUGCAGCGACGCCGCGUGAGUGAAGAAGUAUUUCGGUAUGUAAAGCUCUAUCAGCAGGGAAGAAAAUGACGGUACCUGACCAAGAAGCCCCGGCUAACUACGUGCCAGCAGCCGCGGUAAUACGUAGGGGGCAAGCGUUAUCCGGAUUUACUGGGUGUAAAGGGAGCGUAGACGGCUGAGCAAGUCAGAAGUGAAAGCCCGGGGCUCAACCCCGGGACUGCUUUUGAAACUGCGGAGCUGGAGUGCAGGAGAGGUAAGCGGAAUUCCUGGUGUAGCGGUGAAAUGCGUAGAUAUCAGGAGGAACACCAGUGGCGAAGGCGGCUUACUGGACUGUAACUGACGUUGAGGCCCGAAAGCGUGGGGAGCAGACAGGAUUAGAUACCCCAGUA
This 447-nucleotide ribosomal RNA is filed under the name uncultured bacterium. RNAcentral describes it as "bacterial SSU rRNA". It matches the Rfam family "Bacterial small subunit ribosomal RNA", at positions 328 to 792 of the family's 1533-position model. The record is from RNAcentral.